This 166-nucleotide unclassified non-coding RNA is filed under the name uncultured Penicillium. Its description in RNAcentral is "sequence contains ITS2". Lineage: Eukaryota; Fungi; Ascomycota; Eurotiomycetes; Eurotiales; Aspergillaceae. The record is from RNAcentral.
CUGCCCUCAAGCACGGCUUGUGUGUUGGGCCCCCGCCCCCCGGUCCCGGGGGGCGGGCCCGAAAGGCAGCGGCGGCACCGCGUCCGGUCCUCGAGCGUAUGGGGCUUUGUCACCCGCUCUGUAGGCCCGGCCGGCGCCCGCCGGCGACCCCAAUCAAUCUUUUUCA